RNAcentral lists this transfer RNA (77 nucleotides) under SAR324 cluster bacterium. RNAcentral's name for it is "tRNA-Arg". It matches the Rfam family "tRNA". Rfam says of the family: Transfer RNA (tRNA) molecules are approximately 80 nucleotides in length. Their secondary structure includes four short double-helical elements and three loops (D, anti-codon, and T loops). The record is from RNAcentral. Lineage: Bacteria; Deltaproteobacteria.
GCGCCUGUAGCUCAGCUGGAUAGAGUACUGGAUUUCGAUUCCAAGGGUCGGAGGUUCGAACCCUUCCAGGCGCGCCA